UCAAAAUUAUUCACAAAAGUGCGAGAAAAAACAAAAGAAUGGAAGCUGUUCGAACGGAUCUGUGAGGGGUGCCCCGACUACGACGGACGAAAUUACUGGAAAACGGGGCUGC
Non-coding RNA from Caenorhabditis elegans, 112 nucleotides. The record is from Ensembl. Lineage: Eukaryota; Metazoa; Nematoda; Chromadorea; Rhabditida; Rhabditidae.